GACGAACGCUGGCGGCGUGCUUAACACAUGCAAGUCGAACGGAAAGGCCCUGCUUUUGUGGGGUGCUCGAGUGGCGAACGGGUGAGUACACGUGAGUAACCUGCCCUUGACUUUGGGAUAACUUCAGGAAACUGGGGCUAAUACCGGAUAGGAGCUCCUGCUGCAUGGUGGGGGUUGGAAAGUUUCGGCGGUUGGGGAUGGACUCGCGGCUUAUCAGCUUGUUGGUGGGGUAGUGGCUUACCAAGGCUUUGACGGGUAGCCGGCCUGAGAGGGUGACCGGCCACAUUGGGACUGAGAUACGGCCCAGACUCCUACGGGAGGCAACAGUGGGGAAUAUUGCACAAUGGGCGGAAGCCUGAUGCAGCAACGCCGCGUGCGGGAUGACGGCCUUCGGGUUGUAAACCGCUUUCGCCUGUGACGAAGCGUGAGUGACGGUAAUGGGUAAAGAAGCACCGGCUAACUACGU
This 466-nucleotide ribosomal RNA is filed under the name uncultured bacterium. Its description in RNAcentral is "partial 16S ribosomal RNA". It matches the Rfam family "Bacterial small subunit ribosomal RNA", at positions 28 to 506 of the family's 1533-position model. The record is from RNAcentral.